UGGUUCUCCCCGGGCGGAAAUACAAUACAAUGGAGGAAAUGAAGAAUCUUAUGUGUGUGAUAGGGAGUGACGCAGAGAUGGAUGUUAUGUAGAAAUAUUCAGCCGACCCUCGGAAAAAUUGUUGCAUUUCCCAUAACAGCCGGUUUUACGCACCGGAAAUGACCGACUCGUUAUAGUGCAAUCGAACUGAAGCCAUAGCUGCAAGUCCUUGAUGCCGUAGUCGAAUGUGGCCAUAACACGGGAAAUAAAAGUGGAUCAUUGCCAAACAAUAACUCGCACACAAAUACAAWAACGGGUGGAAGCCAGCRUAUAACAGCAUAAAUUCCUAUAGCKACACACACACAUACAAAACUAGCGACGCGUGCAACGAGUUGACGUCAGCAACGCAAAUUAAAGCAUAACGCUUAGUUUGGAAAAAUCCAACCAGCGCAUUGACUCAUCGUAAGGCAAAGGAAAUAUAUGCCUUGUGAAAACGGAAUUCCAUGAAAAAUUAAUAGAAGCUUGAUUGAGUCCACACAGGUGAUAUACACUAGCAGCUUGAGUUAAGUCAGCGAG
Long non-coding RNA from Bactrocera latifrons, 555 nucleotides. RefSeq lists it as uncharacterized. Lineage: Eukaryota; Metazoa; Arthropoda; Insecta; Diptera; Tephritidae. The record is from RefSeq and is a predicted model, not a curated record. The transcript is spliced from 3 exons.